GACGAACGCUGGCGGCGUGCCUAACACAUGCAAGUCGUGCGGUCUCGCCUUAAGCGAAAGGCCUUCGGGCUUUGAAGCAAAGGCGAGAUAGCGGCGGACGGGUGAGUAACGCGUGGGCAAUCUGCCCAUAAGACUGGGACAACAUCAGGAAACUGAUGCUAAUACCGGAUACAGUCAUGAGCAGGCAUCUGCACAUGAUAAAAAAGGCAGCCUCUCGACGAAGCAGCUGCUUAUGGAUGAGCCCGCGUUCCAUUAGCCAGUUGGUGAGGUAACGGCUCACCAAAGCGACGAUGGAUAGCCGGUCUGAGAGGGCGAUCGGCCACACUGGGACUGAGACACGGCCCAGACUCCUACGGGAGGCAGCAGUGGGGAAUAUUGCGCAAGUGGGGGAACCCUGACGCAGCGACGCCGCGUGAGCGAAGAAGGCUUUCGAGUUGUAAAGCUCUGUAAUAAGGGAAGAACGCUGUAUAUAACG
RNAcentral lists this ribosomal RNA (475 nucleotides) under uncultured bacterium. RNAcentral describes it as "bacterial SSU rRNA". It matches the Rfam family "Bacterial small subunit ribosomal RNA", at positions 28 to 463 of the family's 1533-position model. The record is from RNAcentral.